RNAcentral lists this long non-coding RNA (1095 nucleotides) under Cyanistes caeruleus (blue tit). RNAcentral's name for it is "lncRNA (ENSCCEG00000011059.1)". Lineage: Eukaryota; Metazoa; Chordata; Aves; Passeriformes; Paridae. The record is from RNAcentral.
UUCCUUGCUCCCCUUUCCCAGUUCUAGCAGGCCCCAUGGCUCCAGUCCAGUGUUUUCCCUGCGAGAGACGAGGCAGAGCCCCCUGUGAAUUUGGGGCUGCUUUUCCCUCAGGAGCUGUCAGGGGAAGGGGCACCUCGUGCCUUGAAGGCAGGCAAACGUGUAAGGUCAUGCAGGUUGGAGCAUUCUCUUGCCUAAGCAAUCUAUGAAAAUGGCCAUCUGAUGUACCUUGUGGUUGAGCAGAUGCUAUCUUGUUUGGUAAUGAAAUUCUGCCCUGAGUAAUUGGACAUUCUUCCUGGUUCCUCAUAAUUAAGGCAGAAGAAAAGAACAAAAUCUGCUGAUUUGAUACAAGUAAUUGCUUCAUUAAGUUAUUUGCUUCCUUACCAUAACCAUCACCCCAACAGGAGCAGCCUCACCAGAUCAUACAGGAUGAUCCUUUAGUGCUGUGGGGUUUUUGGUGCUUCCUUGUCAGAUGGAAUCACAGGGGAAAAAGGAAACACACAGCUAAAUUAUUUACCUCUUAACCAUAUGCAGUUAAGACCACAGAGGGCCUGGCUGUGCUGUGUCCUAAGCAAAUGAAUCAACCUCUGGAAAAAGCACAGAGAGAGAGAGUGAUGAGGCUUUAGGUCACCACAGCUGCCUGGCCUCCUGCAUCUGAGCAUUGUGGAUUGAUGCUGACAGGCUGAACAUCUGUGUUUUCCUACUGUGGAGGAAGAAGGGCAGAGAGCUGCAUGAAAUCCUGCCCAGUGGCAAGGAAAUGUGAUUCAGGACUGGACUAUGAUGAAGUCAGGGCUUGGAGGAUUUUUGGAUGUGAAUUCCACUGAAUUAUCCCCAAGUGCUGCAGAAAGCAGUUCCAGGUCACUGCCAAUCAGUCCUGCAGAGCUCUGCAUGAACAGCCUGUAUGAUCCAGGAAUGCUAUCAGGGACUUUGAUCAUCGAGCUGAUUCCUAUCUCCCUCUCCAAGAUCUGGGCAGGCAUCUUGCUGUCCUGGGCAUCAGCACCGGGAAUUGGGCACGGACAGUGGGAAUUGUGCCCUGCAAAGGAGCACGGGCUGAGCUGUGCCACCAGCAGCCAGUCUGAGCUCCCCCAGUGGAAGUGA